CACCUCAGGUGCACCCACCUCACCUAACCCUCCCUCUUCAGGGCUUGCACCGGGACGGCCGCACAAGGGCGGGCGAUGGCGGGCCGCGGGCAGCGCUCCCUCCGCCCCGCCAUGGCGGCCGGCUGCUCGCCGCUGAGAGGCAGGGGUCUGCGCCCGUGUACCACCAGGUCUCCUUGGGGUCACUGUGAAUGAAGCUUGGCUGAUGGAAGUAGUGGCAGAUUCCCAAAGCGUUUUGAGAAGAUUUUGUUGAAGACUGUAAUGAUCUUUGCAGCAUAUUGUUCUGGGAUCAGCACCCUUGGGGAUACAUCAGUACGGUGAUUGAUGGAAAGAAGCUGGAGAGGGAAACCAAAGCAAACUCAGCCAAGGCAAGAUAAG
This is a long non-coding RNA of Falco peregrinus (peregrine falcon), 375 nucleotides long. RefSeq lists it as uncharacterized. The record is from RefSeq and is a predicted model, not a curated record. NCBI's taxonomy places the organism in Eukaryota, Metazoa, Chordata, Aves, Falconiformes, Falconidae. The transcript is spliced from 3 exons.